GCUAUAACGAAUUCACCUAAAACAAUUAACCAAAAUAUAGCAACUAUAACCAAUUCUUAAACAAACUCAAUCAACAAAUUCAAACUAAAUGAUGAACAACAAAGAACCAACUAAAAUUAUUUUAACUAAAUAAUAUUUUUAACAACAAACAUACUUUCAGAUUCAACAAUAACAAACGAGUAAAUUCAAAAUCACUACACUCAGAUUCAAAUUAAACUUAACAGAACGAUAAAACAAAUUCAACUCACCAAAUUUAAUCAUCAAUUGAACUUCAAAUUAAAUCAAACAACAUUACAAUUAAGAUAAAAAUUCAAGUGAUCAACUAAAACAUUUCUAUAUUAAAACUAAACAAGAAUCAAAUAUACUGAAGAAAUAAUCAAGAAAUGAACAAGAAAAUAAUAUACUGAUUUUAGAUCCUAAAAUAUCAAAUAAAAUACGGACGAAAAUGAAACUUGAAACCAACUAACCGGAUCGGAAUAACGACGAAAUUGAACAGACACAAUCUGCCCGGAAAACACAAACCAAGACUGUCAACGAACCUCUACUCUCACCUUCUCUCUCGACGAUGGGAGCUAUGACUGCUCGAGGGUUGUGACAGUGGGUGUUUGGCGUGGAGUUGUUGACGACGAGCUGGGUGUCGUUUGGGACGGGAGCUGGUGUUACUGUGAGCGGCUGGACUGAACGAAGAAGAUCGUUAGCGAUGGAGGGCGAGUGUUUCGCUGGAAAAACGAGAGGCGGGCUGGCAUGUGGUUGUUUCAGGUGACUGGGUGGUGGUGCGACUGGUGAUGUCGCUAGUUGAGACGGGAAGGGCUGGGGGCUGGUUGUUGGGGUCGUUUGGAUGCUUU
This 845-nucleotide long non-coding RNA is filed under the name Nicotiana benthamiana. RNAcentral's name for it is "long non-coding RNA (NBEN_LNC028796)". Lineage: Eukaryota; Viridiplantae; Streptophyta; Magnoliopsida; Solanales; Solanaceae. The record is from RNAcentral.